RNAcentral lists this ribosomal RNA (603 nucleotides) under uncultured fungus. RNAcentral's name for it is "SSU rRNA". It matches the Rfam family "Eukaryotic small subunit ribosomal RNA", at positions 816 to 1443 of the family's 1831-position model. Lineage: Eukaryota; Fungi. The record is from RNAcentral.
AAUGAAAUAGGACGUGUGGUUCUAUUUUGUUGGUUUCUAGGACCGCCGUAUGAUUAAUAGGGACAGUCGGGGGCAUCAGUAUUCAAUUGUCAGAGGUGAAAUUCUUGGAUUUAUUGAAGACUAACUACUGCGAAAGCAUUUGCCAAGGAUGUUUUCAUUAGUCAGGAGCGAAAGUUAGGGGAUCGAAGACGAUCAGAUACCGUCGUAGUCUUAACAUAAACUAUGCCGAUUAGGGAUUGGACGGCGUUAUUUUUUGACCCGUUCGGCACCUUACGAUAAAUCAAAAUGUUUGGGCUCCUGGGGGAGUAUGGUCGCAAGGCUGAAACUUAAAGGAAUUGACGGAAGGGCACCACCAGGGGUGGAGCCUGCGGCUUAAUUUGACUCAACACGGGGAAACUCACCAGGUCCAGACACGAUGAGGAUUGACAGAUUGAGAGCUCUUUCUUGAUUUCGUGGGUGGUGGUGCAUGGCCGUUCUUAGUUGGUGGAGUGAUUUGUCUGCUUAAUUGCGAUAACGAACGAGACCUUAACCUGCUAAAUAGCUCGUAUUGUUUUGGCAGUACGCUGGCUUCUUAGAGGGACUAUCGACUCAAGCCGAUGGAAG